RNAcentral lists this ribosomal RNA (253 nucleotides) under uncultured bacterium. RNAcentral describes it as "partial 16S ribosomal RNA". It matches the Rfam family "Bacterial small subunit ribosomal RNA", at positions 524 to 776 of the family's 1533-position model. The record is from RNAcentral.
UACGUAGGGUGCGAGCGUUAAUCGGAAUUACUGGGCGUAAAGCGUGCGUAGGCGGUUCGUUAAGUUCGUUGUGAAAGCCCCGGGCUCAACCUGGGAACUGCAAUGGAAACUGGCGGGCUUGAGUGUGGCAGAGGGGGGUGGAAUUCCGCGUGUAGCAGUGAAAUGCGUAGAGAUGCGGAGGAACACCGAUGGCGAAGGCAGCCCCCUGGGCCAACACUGACGCUCAUGCACGAAAGCGUGGGGAGCAAACAGG